UCAAAUACCAGUUCCCGUCCGAUCACCGAAGUUAAGCAACGUCGAAUGUGGUCAGUACUUAGAUGGAUGACAUCUAUGGAAUACCAGGUGCUGUAA
Non-coding RNA from Acanthosepion pharaonis, 96 nucleotides. NCBI's taxonomy places the organism in Eukaryota, Metazoa, Mollusca, Cephalopoda, Sepiida, Sepiidae. The record is from the annotation of a GenBank genome assembly.